Molecule: ribosomal RNA, 703 nt
Filed under: uncultured bacterium
Lineage: Bacteria
Description: bacterial SSU rRNA
Rfam family: Bacterial small subunit ribosomal RNA
Source: RNAcentral
AUAGCCUUUCGAAAGAAAGAUUAAUACUGGAUAGCAUAACGAGAAGGCAUCUUCUUGUUAUUAAAGAAUUUCGAUAAUCGAUGGGGAUGCGUUCCAUUAGUUUGUUGGCGGGGUAACGGCCCACCAAGACAUCGAUGGAUAGGGGUUCUGAGAGGAAGGUCCCCCACAUUGGAACUGAGACACGGUCCAAACUCCUACGGGAGGCAGCAGUGAGGAAUAUUGGUCAAUGGACGAGAGUCUGAACCAGCCAAGUAGCGUGAAGGAUGACUGCCCUAUGGGUUGUAAACUUCUUUUAUAUGGGAAUAAAGUGAGCCACGUGUGGCUUUUUGUAUGUACCAUACGAAUAAGGAUCGGCUAACUCCGUGCCAGCAGCCGCGGUAAUACGGAGGAUCCGAGCGUUAUCCGGAUUUAUUGGGUUUAAAGGGAGCGUAGGCGGAUUAUUAAGUCAGUUGUGAAAGUUUGCGGCUCAACCGUAAAAUUGCAGUUGAUACUGGUAGUCUUGAGUGCAGCAGAGGUAGGCGGAAUUCGUGGUGUAGCGGUGAAAUGCUUAGAUAUCACGAAGAACUCCGAUUGCGAAGGCAGCUUACUGGACUGUAACUGACGCUGAUGCUCGAAAGUGUGGGUAUCAAACAGGAUUAGAUACCCUGGUAGUCCACACAGUAAACGAUGAAUACUCGCUGUUUGCGAUAUACAGCAAGCGGCC